RNAcentral lists this ribosomal RNA (842 nucleotides) under Colletotrichum asianum. Its description in RNAcentral is "LSU rRNA". It matches the Rfam family "Eukaryotic large subunit ribosomal RNA", at positions 66 to 939 of the family's 3401-position model. The record is from RNAcentral. Lineage: Eukaryota; Fungi; Ascomycota; Sordariomycetes; Glomerellales; Glomerellaceae.
CAACAGGGAUUGCCUCAGUAACGGCGAGUGAAGCGGCAACAGCUCAAAUUUGAAAUCUGGCCCUAGGCCCGAGUUGUAAUUUGCAGAGGAUGCUUUUGGUGCGGUGCCUUCCAAGUUCCCUAGAACGGGACGCCAGAGAGGGUGAGAGCCCCGUACAGUUGGACACCAAGCCUUUGUAAAGCUCCUUCGACGAGUCGAGUAGUUUGGGAAUGCUGCUCAAAAUGGGAGGUAUAUUUCUUCUAAAGCUAAAUACCGGCCAGAGACCGAUAGCGCACAAGUAGAGUGAUCGAAAGAUGAAAAGCACUUUGAAAAGAGGGUUAAACAGCACGUGAAAUUGUUAAAAGGGAAGCGCUUGUGACCAGACUUGCGUCCGGUGAAUCACCCAGCUCUCGCGGCUGGGGCACUUCGCCGGCUCAGGCCAGCAUCAGCUCGCUGUCGGGGACAAAAGCUUCAGGAACGUAGCUCUCUUCGGGGAGUGUUAUAGCCUGUUGCAUAAUACCCUUCGGCGGGCUGAGGUACGCGCUCCGCAAGGAUGCUGGCAUAAUGGUCAUCAGCGACCCGUCUUGAAACACGGACCAAGGAGUCAACCUUAUGUGCGAGUGUUCGGGUGUCAAACCCCUACGCGUAAUGAAAGUGAACGCAGGUGAGAGCUUCGGCGCAUCAUCGACCGAUCCUGAUGUUCUCGGAUGGAUUUGAGUAAGAGCAUAUAGGGUUGGACCCGAAAGAAGGUGAACUAUGCGUGUAUAGGGUGAAGCCAGAGGAAACUCUGGUGGAGGCUCGCAGCGGUUCUGACGUGCAAAUCGAUCGUCAAAUAUGCGCAUGGGGGCGAAAGACUAAUCGAA